GACGAACGCUGGCGGCGUGCCUAAUACAUGCAAGUCGAGCGGACUGAUUAAGAGCUUGCUCUUAUGACGUUAGCGGCGGACGGGUGAGUAACACGUGGGCAACCUGCCCUGUAGAUCGGGAUAACACCGAGAAAUCGGUGCUAAUACCGGGUAAUAUCUGAGAUCACAUGAUCUUAGGUUAAAAGAUGGCUCCGGCUAUCACUACAGGAUGGGCCCGCGGCGCAUUAGCUAGUUGGUAAGGGAAUGGCUUACCAAGGCGACGAUGCGUAGCCGACCUGAGAGGGUGAUCGGCCACACUGGGACUGAGACACGGCCCAGACUCCUACGGGAGGCAGCAGUAGGGAAUCUUCCGCAAUGGACGAAAGUCUGACGGAGCAACGCCGCGUGAGUGAUGAAGGGUUUCGGCCCGUAAAGCUCUGUUGUUAGGGAAGAAACAGUACCGAACGAACUAGGUCGGUACCUUGACGGUACCUAACCAGAAAGCCACGGCUAACUACGUG
RNAcentral lists this ribosomal RNA (500 nucleotides) under uncultured bacterium. Its description in RNAcentral is "partial 16S ribosomal RNA". It matches the Rfam family "Bacterial small subunit ribosomal RNA", at positions 28 to 507 of the family's 1533-position model. The record is from RNAcentral.